Molecule: ribosomal RNA, 273 nt
Filed under: uncultured bacterium
Lineage: Bacteria
Description: partial 16S ribosomal RNA
Rfam family: Bacterial small subunit ribosomal RNA
Source: RNAcentral
GCCGUGAGGUGUCGGCUUAAGUGCCAUAACGAGCGCAACCCUUGUCAUUAGUUACCAUCAGGUCAAGCUGGGGACUCUAAUGAGACUGCCACCGUAAGGUGUGAGGAAGGGGGGGAUGACGUCAAAUCAGCACGGCCCUUAUGUCCGGGGCGACACACGUGUUACAAUGGGGGGUACAGAGGGCAGCCAUCCGGCGACGGAGCGCUAAUCUCAAAAACUCUCCUCAGUUCGGAUUGGAGUCUGCAACUCGACUCCAUGAAGUUGGAUUCGCUA